UACGAAAGGUGCAAGCGUUACUCGGAAUCACUGGGCGUAAAGCGCACGUAGGCGGACUCGUAGGUCAGUUGUGAAAUACCUGGGCUCAACCCGGGAACUGCAGUUGAAACCGCUUGUCUUGAAUACCUGAGAGGGUGGGGGAAUACCUGGUGUAGAAGUGAAAUUCGUAGAGAUCAGGUGGAACACCGGAGGCGAAGGCGCCUGCCUGGAAGUGUAUUGACGCUGAGGUGCGAAAGUGCGGGGAGCAAACAGG
RNAcentral lists this ribosomal RNA (253 nucleotides) under uncultured bacterium. Its description in RNAcentral is "partial 16S ribosomal RNA". It matches the Rfam family "Bacterial small subunit ribosomal RNA", at positions 524 to 776 of the family's 1533-position model. The record is from RNAcentral.